AUUCCAGCUCCAAGAGCGUACACCUAUAUUGCUGCAGUUAAAACGCUCGUAGUCUAUAAAAAGUCCUAGUGUGUGUGGUCUGUAGCCCUUAGGGGAGCAUCUGCUUUCUGCUGUUGUGUCUUCCCAAAUGGGUUGGUACAUCAGUAGAACAUCAGAUUAGCACACAUCAAGGCAUAUCGAUCGUGAACAAAUCAAUGUGAUCCAAGCAGGCAUUGCAUUCAAAAGCUCGAAUAUAUUAGCAUGAAACCCAAUAUAUAAGCUGUUACACUCGUGUAGCAGUUGAUUAUAUAAUAGGAGGCUGAAAUACGAUACUGGUAUUGCUGGCGCAGAGGUGAAAUUCCGACAUUCUAGCAAGACCACCUGAAGCGAAAGCUGACAUAUCUCUCACGCCUCCAUUGAUCAGGAACGAAAGUUAGGGGAUCGAAGAUGAUUAGAUACCGUCGUAGUCCUAACU
RNAcentral lists this ribosomal RNA (454 nucleotides) under uncultured marine eukaryote. Its description in RNAcentral is "partial 18S ribosomal RNA". It matches the Rfam family "Eukaryotic small subunit ribosomal RNA", at positions 582 to 1031 of the family's 1831-position model. The record is from RNAcentral.